GUUCGAUUCUGAACUUGCGACAUUUCUUCUUGACUGGAUCAGAAUUCCAGUCCAGUCCUCCCCUAUGAAGGUGUAACGAUUACAUUGCUGUUGCCCAACAGAUUGGUGUGUCAACAGGUUGAAUUUCCUGCUGCAGAUCACCUCUUCAUUUCCUAUGGCUCACCAACAUGAAGCCUGACUCGUUAGCCCAACUUGUUGCUGUUGAAGACUGCUAAGGACUAUCCAUGUGCCCAGCUGCUUCCCUCCUGCCUCAUAUAGUCCAAAAGUUACAUUUCUAUUCAUGUUGUUGC
This is a long non-coding RNA of Alosa sapidissima (American shad), 290 nucleotides long. RefSeq lists it as uncharacterized. The transcript is spliced from 3 exons. NCBI's taxonomy places the organism in Eukaryota, Metazoa, Chordata, Actinopteri, Clupeiformes, Clupeidae. The record is from RefSeq and is a predicted model, not a curated record.